RNAcentral lists this ribosomal RNA (257 nucleotides) under uncultured bacterium. RNAcentral describes it as "partial 16S ribosomal RNA". It matches the Rfam family "Bacterial small subunit ribosomal RNA", at positions 793 to 1055 of the family's 1533-position model. The record is from RNAcentral.
GUCCACACGGUAAACGAUGAAUACUCGCUGUUGGCGAUAUACAGUCAGCGGCCAAGCGAAAGCAUUAAGUAUUCCACCUGGGGAGUACGCCGGCAACGGUGAAACUCAAAGGAAUUGACGGGGGCCCGCACAAGCGGAGGAACAUGUGGUUUAAUUCGAUGAUACGCGAGGAACCUUACCCGGGCUUAAAUUGCACUGGACAGCUCAAGAGAUUGAGUCUUCUUCGGACCAGUGUGAAGGUGCUGCAUGGUUGUCGU